UUUCUACGGAGAGUUUGAUCCUGGCUCAGGACGAACGCUGGCGGCGUGCUUAACACAUGCAAGUCGAGCGGUAAGGCCCUUUCGGGGGUACACGAGCGGCGAACGGGUGAGUAACACGUGAGUAAUCUGCCCUUCACUUGGGGAUAAGCUUCGGAAACGGGGUCUAAUACCUGAUACGAC
This 180-nucleotide ribosomal RNA is filed under the name Nocardioides psychrotolerans. RNAcentral describes it as "16S rRNA. Bacterial SSU". It matches the Rfam family "Bacterial small subunit ribosomal RNA", at positions 1 to 179 of the family's 1533-position model. The record is from RNAcentral. Lineage: Bacteria; Bacillati; Actinomycetota; Actinomycetes; Propionibacteriales; Nocardioidaceae.